This 288-nucleotide ribosomal RNA is filed under the name uncultured bacterium. RNAcentral's name for it is "partial 16S ribosomal RNA". It matches the Rfam family "Bacterial small subunit ribosomal RNA", at positions 773 to 1060 of the family's 1533-position model. The record is from RNAcentral.
GUGGAUUAGAUACCCCGGUAGUCCAUGCCGUAAACGAUGUCUACUAGCCGUUGGGGCCUUUGAGGCUUUAGUGGCGCAGCUAACGCGAUAAGUAGACCGCCUGGGGAGUACGGUCGCAAGACUAAAACUCAAAUGAAUUGACGGGGGCCCGCACAAGCGGUGGAGCAUGUGGUUUAAUUCGAUGCAACGCGAAGAACCUUACCUGGUCUUGACAUAGUAAGAACUUUCCAGAGAUGGAUUGGUGCCUUCGGGAACUUACAUACAGGUGCUACACGGUCGUCGACAGCU